Panicum hallii is the source of this 437-nucleotide long non-coding RNA. RefSeq lists it as uncharacterized. The record is from RefSeq and is a predicted model, not a curated record. Lineage: Eukaryota; Viridiplantae; Streptophyta; Magnoliopsida; Poales; Poaceae. The transcript is spliced from 2 exons.
CGCCGCCACAUAAUGUGCUCAGUAUUUCCCCGAACCGGAAAGGUGGUAGGAAAUUAAUAUUGAAGUCAAUUCCCUCAUUUCCAUCACUUAUGUGAGAGUCAAACAGUGGUUCUGCAAUGAACGAUACCGAUAACACAUUCAGCGCAUCGCCUCUCGUUUUAGGACCAUCUUAAAGUUAUGAAGUCGACUAUGGGACCGACUUGUAGUCCAAAUAUGUGCCUCACAUCCUACGCCUGCAGCAAGGCUCGAGGUACUGUCAGAGAAUAGUAAGUUAGAUUUAAGAUGCAGUGAUCUGUAUUUGUAAAAUAUGUAGCCUCUCAAUAAUCUGUAUGUAAGAUGAUGUGUCUUGUAGCUGUUAUUUUUAUUGAAUUGUAGUAACACUAUAAAUCACCUCUUGAGGAGGUUCCACAAUUCCAUUCCAUGUUUCUCGUCGCAAA